CAAGAAUAUCUUCUGGAAAUUGGAUGUUAAUGAAAAAUCAGGACAUCCCUGCUGGUUCAGUAGACUGUGGAAUAGACCUGUUGAUGGUAUUUGAAUAUGAACUGAGUGCAGGCUGACUGUGUGGCUGCAGUAGGUCAGCUAACUCGAGAACAAGGGGCUCAGGUUUAUGAGGCUGUAGAGAUCAGCAGGGCCUCCAGGAGGACUCCGCAUGAAAAACUGUUGGAGUUCAUCAUAAAGGGCCAUGGAGCAGAUGAACACUUGCUGGCUGUUGUAUCUGAACAGGUGUCAUCCAAAUGGUUUAAAAAUAAUGAAGAUCCUAAAGGCUACCAUGUAAUGGCCUCUAUACAGUAGAAGAUGAGAAGCUGACAGAUGGCCUCUACAACUACCUGAUGAAGUGCUGUAGGCACUUUUGAAAAGAUAGUCAGAGUUCAUUCAUUCUGGAUGUGCUGAUGCCGGAGGCUCAUUUGACUACAAAGAGUGUCUCUGUGAGUAAGAAGCAGAGGGUCUGCACAUUGAUGGACCAGCAGAUGCUGAGUGGGACAUCAUGUGCUGUCGGGGAGCAGACAGUCCUUUCUUUUUAUUUUCAGCACCAUUAUUCAGUUAAUCAGAAUACCAUUUUACUUGUAGUGAAUUUAGACAAGAAUAUAAAACUAAAUACCUAUAAAUGUAAAUAUAUGUUUAAAGUGAAAUUUAAAAUAUGCAUUAAUACACUUUUAGUAUUGGUAAAAGUUUUGUUUUUUUUAAGGUGAACAAAGAGUUUGACAAAAUUGUGCUUCAACUGUUGGAGUUUGAGGACUAACAGCAUCACUGAGGCAUCUAAUCUUGGGUUUCCAUCUUGACGCCUCCUCUAAUAAAUGUGUCACUUGCUA
Long non-coding RNA from Polypterus senegalus (gray bichir), 869 nucleotides. RefSeq lists it as uncharacterized. The transcript has 4 exons. NCBI's taxonomy places the organism in Eukaryota, Metazoa, Chordata, Cladistia, Polypteriformes, Polypteridae. The record is from RefSeq and is a predicted model, not a curated record.